Molecule: ribosomal RNA, 528 nt
Filed under: Shewanella algae
Lineage: Bacteria; Pseudomonadati; Pseudomonadota; Gammaproteobacteria; Alteromonadales; Shewanellaceae
Description: bacterial SSU rRNA
Rfam family: Bacterial small subunit ribosomal RNA
Source: RNAcentral
GCAGUGGGGAAUAUUGCACAAUGGGGGAAACCCUGAUGCAGCCAUGCCGCGUGUGUGAAGAAGGCCUUCGGGUUGUAAAGCACUUUCAGCGAGGAGGAAAGGGUGUAAGUUAAUACCUUACAUCUGUGACGUUACUCGCAGAAGAAGCACCGGCUAACUCCGUGCCAGCAGCCGCGGUAAUACGGAGGGUGCGAGCGUUAAUCGGAAUUACUGGGCGUAAAGCGUGCGCAGGCGGUUUGUUAAGCGAGAUGUGAAAGCCCCGGGCUCAACCUGGGAACCGCAUUUCGAACUGGCAAACUAGAGUCUUGUAGAGGGGGGUAGAAUUCCAGGUGUAGCGGUGAAAUGCGUAGAGAUCUGGAGGAAUACCGGUGGCGAAGGCGGCCCCCUGGACAAAGACUGACGCUCAGGCACGAAAGCGUGGGGAGCAAACAGGAUUAGAUACCCUGGUAGUCCACGCCGUAAACGAUGUCUACUCGGAGUUUGGUGUCUUGAACACUGGGCUCUCAAGCUAACGCAUUAAGUAGACCG